CCUACGGGCGGCAGCAGUGAGGAAUAUUGGUCAAUGGGCGCAAGCCUGAACCAGCCAAGUAGCGUGAAGGAUGACUGCCCUACGGGUUGUAAACUUCUUUUAUACAGGAAUAAAGUGAGGCACGUGUGCCUCUUUGUAUGUACUUUACGAAUAAGGAUCGGCUAACUCCGUGCCAGCAGCCGCGGUAAUACGGAGGAUCCGAGCGUUAUCCGGAUUUAUUGGGUUUAAAGGGUGCGUAGAUGGGUUGUUAAGUCAGUUGUGAAAGUUUGAGGCUCAACCGUAAAAUUGCAAUUGAUACUGGCAGUCUUGAGUACAGUUGAGGUAGGCGGAAUGCGUGGUGUAGCGGUGAAAUGCUUAGAUAUCACGAAGAACUCCGAUUGCGAAGGCAGCUUACUAAACUGCCACUGACGUUGAUGCACGAAAGUGUGGGUAUCAAACAGGAUUAGAUACCCGAGUAGUC
Molecule: ribosomal RNA, 460 nt
Filed under: uncultured bacterium
Lineage: Bacteria
Description: partial 16S ribosomal RNA
Rfam family: Bacterial small subunit ribosomal RNA
Source: RNAcentral